AGUGAACGCUGGCGGUAGGCCUAACACAUGCAAGUCGAACGGCAGCACAGGAGAGCUUGCUCUCUGGGUGGCGAGUGGCGGACGGGUGAGGAAUACAUCGGAAUCUGCCCAGUCGUGGGGGAUAACGUAGGGAAACUUACGCUAAUACCGCAUACGACCUCCGGGUGAAAGAGGGGGAUCGCAAGACCCCUCGCGAUUGGAUGAGCCGAUGUCGGAUUGGCUAGUUGGCGGGGUAAUGGCCCACCAAGGCGACGAUCCGUAGCUGGUCUGAGAGGAUGAUCAGCCACACUGGAACUGAGACACGGUCCAGACUCCUACGGGAGGCAGCAGUGGGGAAUAUUGGACAAUGGGCGCAAGCCUGAUCCAGCCAUACCGCGUGGGUGAAGAAGGCCUUCGGGUUGUAAAGCCCUUUUGUUGGGAAAGAAAACUUUCAGGCUAAUACCCUGGGAGGAUGACGGUACCCAAAGAAUAAGCACCGGCUAACUUCGUG
Molecule: ribosomal RNA, 490 nt
Filed under: uncultured bacterium
Lineage: Bacteria
Description: partial 16S ribosomal RNA
Rfam family: Bacterial small subunit ribosomal RNA
Source: RNAcentral